UCAUCAUAUCCAAUCUAAAUCGUCAAGUUCUUGACGAUUCACAACGGACUCAGUCAUGAAUACCUUCUCCUCAGGAACUCGGUUGAGUUGCUUCAAUGAUGCUGAGGAUGAAGGAGGUGGUGUUCUAGGGACAACAUGCUAGAAUGGAACAAGUCUUGAGCUUGUAAGCGUUCUAGAGGCAUCUCCUGCUCACUUGGAAAUCGCAUCAUCAACCUCUGGAGAGGUUGCUGUUGUGUUUCGUAAAUCCCUGAGGCUUACACAUGAGGGUCGCAGAAAGUUUGCAUCUGGGAAAAUAACCAACUUGAUGACAACGGAUGCUGAAGCACUACUGGCAUGUUCUCUUCUUGCUGC
Magnolia sinica is the source of this 351-nucleotide long non-coding RNA. RefSeq lists it as uncharacterized. The record is from RefSeq and is a predicted model, not a curated record. The transcript is spliced from 3 exons. NCBI's taxonomy places the organism in Eukaryota, Viridiplantae, Streptophyta, Magnoliopsida, Magnoliales, Magnoliaceae.